CAGUCGCCGCGGUAAUACGUAGGUGGCAAGCGUUGUCCGGAAUUAUUGGGCGUAAAGGGCUCGCAGGCGGUUUCUUAAGUCUGAUGUGAAAGCCCCCGGCUCAACCGGGGAGGGUCAUUGGAAACUGGGAAACUUGAGUGCAGAAGAGGAGAGUGGAAUUCCACGUGUAACGGUGAAAUGCGUAGAGAUGUGGAGGAACACCAGUGGCGAAGGCGACUCUCUGGUCUGUAACUGACGCUGAGGAGCGAAAGCGUGGGGAGCGAACAGGAUUAGAUACCCCAGUAGUCCCUGUCUCUUAUAU
This 301-nucleotide ribosomal RNA is filed under the name uncultured bacterium. RNAcentral's name for it is "partial 16S ribosomal RNA". It matches the Rfam family "Bacterial small subunit ribosomal RNA", at positions 509 to 809 of the family's 1533-position model. The record is from RNAcentral.